This 64-nucleotide transfer RNA is filed under the name Calolamprodes beybienkoi. Its description in RNAcentral is "tRNA-Arg". The record is from RNAcentral. Lineage: Eukaryota; Metazoa; Arthropoda; Insecta; Blattodea; Blaberidae.
GAAUAUGAAGCAAUUUAUGCAAUUAGUUUCGACCUAAUUAUUGAUAUUAAUUUAUACUUAUUCU